Molecule: unclassified non-coding RNA, 337 nt
Filed under: uncultured fungus
Lineage: Eukaryota; Fungi
Description: partial contains 5.8S rRNA and ITS2
Source: RNAcentral
AACGCACAUUGCACUCUAUUUCGGUAGAGUAUGCCUGUUUGAGAAUCUAAAGUAUUUAUUCUCGGUUCUUUUUUAGAACCGAGAGAUUUGGGCGUUCCACUUUGGCAGGUGGUCGCUUUAAAUUUAUAGCCGGUCGGUUCGUAUUGAUGCUUGAAUCUUUACAUAGGUUGACUUGACCGUAUUUGAAUGGAACCUCGGUUCUUUAAUAGUGCGUUAAAGGUCGGCAGUAGAGGCUAGUCUUUGCAAACCGGUUCGGUUCAAAAACAUAAAGGGAGGCUCGCAACAGUCUCUCUUGAACCAUGGUCUCAAAUCAGGUAGGAAUACCCGCUGAACUUAA